Molecule: ribosomal RNA, 1761 nt
Filed under: Triticum aestivum (bread wheat)
Lineage: Eukaryota; Viridiplantae; Streptophyta; Magnoliopsida; Poales; Poaceae
Description: partial small subunit ribosomal RNA
Source: RNAcentral
AUGAUGAGGAUACGGACCCUUAUGUGGAUGAACGGGCGUAGCAAAACACAGUACCAUCACUUCGGUGACGUUAUCACCUUCGACCCGACAUACAAAACAAACCUGUAUGAUAUGCCAUUUGGUCUGUUUGUGGGGGUGAAUAAUCAUUUUCAGAGUGUGCUUUAUGCGGGGGUUUUGAUGCGAGACGAGACCGAGGAUACAUUCAAAUGGAUUUUUGAUGAGUUCGUGAAGAUGAUGGGUGGUAAAAAACCAAUUACAAUUCUAACAGAUCAAGCUAGAGCCAUGGAAAAGGCAAUCGAGGAGGUGUAUCCUGAAUCCACGCAUCGCUGGUGCAAAUGGCACGUGCUGAAGAAGGCCAAAGAAAACCUGGGUGCUCAUUACACCAAGAAGUCAGAUUUCAGGGCUGAAUUCCACAAGCUUGUGCAUGAGAUGCUGACUAUUGAUGAAUUCGAGGACGGCUGGGCAGCAUUGCUUGACAAAUAUUCACUGAAAACAAAUCCAUAUCUCGUGCAGAUCUACGAGACUAGGCAGAAGUGGGCAAAACCUUACUUUGCCGGGAAAUUCUGUGCUCGCCAAACUAGCACUGGCAGGAGUGAGAGUGCAAACCAUAUGCUGAAGCAGUAUGUCCCCCCGUCAUGCUCAAUGAAUCUAUUUGUCAAGCAAUACAACAAGCUCCAGUUCGACCGAGAACAGGAGGAAGGAUUCCAGGAGAAACGUACUAGACUGAGUCAUGUUGUGCUGAAGGUGAACACCUCUCUUGAAGUACACGCAAGCAAGAUAUAUACUAGGAAGAUGUUUGAGAUUUUUGGUGGCAUACUGUAUGAAUCUGGAAUGUAUGAUGUCGAAGAAAUCAUAGAGAAGCAGAAAUACAUAGUGACACACCGGAGAGCCGAGCUCUGUGAGAAGUGGUUCAAGUGCCGGUUUGAAGUCAACGUGUCUAAUAACCUUGGUUAUUUCUCGUGCAUUUGCGGUCUGUUUGAGCACAUGGGCAUGGUUUGCUGUCACUCGCUACAGGUGAUGGUUCUACUACGCCUGAAGCAGAUACCUUCGAGGCAUAUACUGAAAAGGUGGAGCAUACACGGCAGAGACAACCUGCCAGCGCAUCUGAAGCACUAUCAACAAGACAUGGGUCUGUCGGAUGCGCCCACUUUCAGGCAUUCUGCUCUGUACAUCACUGCCCUGGAGGUUGCAAAUAUGGGGGACAGGAACCCGGCAGCUUCUGAGUUUAUGAUGACAGGCCUGGUUGAACUUAGAACAAGAGGCGCCGAGGUGUGCGCGUUCAAUGACGGCCUUGGCGUCGUUGAGCAACAGGUAUCCAACAAUGUAGUUCUUGGCGGUCCAAACUCAAAGUUUUUCAACGGCAAGACAUCUUGCUCCGUAAGAAGUGUGGAAGGCAAUCGAACUAAAUCACGCGAUGCCGCGUCUGUGUCUAUGCAUCCUCCAAUUAGCCAGGCCUCAGAAGCAUCAUGCCCAAAUGGUGAUGGGUACAAUUCAGAUUUCUUUGAAGCCGCGUCCAGCCUGAUGCCCAAUGUUGAACAAGAACUGCUUGCCCCGGAAAGAAAAAACAAACAAGGCGGGCCAACCACUAGCCGUGAUAAACUCCUUAUGAGAAAGACAUCGCCAAGAGAUCUAGGUUCUGUUCCAUCUGCAGGGGCAAAGGUCACAAAGCCAGCACUUGCCCUGAUCAAGGUGAUAUCCCCAAAAAGGAAAGGAAGGUGGCCACAUGCGGCAAAUGCAGGGUUCCAGGGCACCGAAGGAUGA